RNAcentral lists this ribosomal RNA (750 nucleotides) under uncultured Acidobacteriota bacterium. RNAcentral's name for it is "bacterial SSU rRNA". It matches the Rfam family "Bacterial small subunit ribosomal RNA", at positions 75 to 830 of the family's 1533-position model. The record is from RNAcentral. Lineage: Bacteria; Pseudomonadati; Acidobacteriota.
GGACUUCGGUUCCCGAGUACAGCGGCGCACGGGUGAGUAACACGUGGGUAAUCUGCCUCGGAGUGGGGAAUAACACCGGGAAACCGGUGCUAAUACCGCAUACGACCACAGAGUCUUCGGACUUUGUGAUGAAAGACUUCGGUCGCUCUGAGAGGAGCCCGCGCCCGAUUAGCUGGAUGGUGAGGUAAUGGCUCACCAUGGCAACGAUCGGUAGCCGGUCUGAGAGGACGGUCGGCCACACUGGAACUGAGACACGGUCCAGACUCCUACGGGAGGCAGCAGUGGGGAAUUUUUGACAAUGGGGGAAACCCUGAUCAAGCAACGCCGCGUGGAUGAUGAAGUAUCUCGGUACGUAAAAUCCUUUCGACAGGGAAGAAGCUCUUCGGAGUUGACGGUACCUGUAGAAGAAGCCCCGGCUAACUCCGUGCCAGCAGCCGCGGUAAUACGGGGGGGGCAAGCGUUGUUCGGAUUUACUGGGCGUAAAGGGCGCGUAGGCGGUUUGUUAAGUCGGAUGUGAAAACUGUGGGCUCAACCCAUAGCCUGCAUCCGAUACUGGCAGACUAGAGUGCGAGAGGGGAAGGCGGAAUUCCUGGUGUAGCGGUGAAAUGCGUAGAUAUCAGGAGGAACACCGGCGGCGAAGGCGGCCUUCUGGAUCGCAACUGACGCUGAGGCGCGAAAGCUAGGGGAGCAAACAGGAUUAGAUACCCUGGUAGUCCUAGCCCUAAACGAUGGAUACUUGGUGUGGGGGGA